UUGAAACUCAAAAAAUUUGGCGGUAUUUUAGUCUAUUCAGAGGAACCUGUAAUGUAAUUGAUAAUCCACGAUGAACCUCACUUAGUCUUGUAAACAGUUUGUAUACCGCUGUUAUUUGAAAAUUUUAUAAGAAUAAUAAUUUUCAAAAAUUUUUAUAAAAAAAAAUAAAUCAAGUCAAGGUGCAGCUUAUGAUUAAGUAAUAUAUGGGUUACAAUAAAUUUAUUUAUGCGGAUUUUAAAUUUAAAU
RNAcentral lists this ribosomal RNA (246 nucleotides) under Phacaspis mitis. Its description in RNAcentral is "partial 12S ribosomal RNA". Lineage: Eukaryota; Metazoa; Arthropoda; Insecta; Diptera; Dolichopodidae. The record is from RNAcentral.